RNAcentral lists this ribosomal RNA (497 nucleotides) under uncultured bacterium. RNAcentral's name for it is "partial 16S ribosomal RNA". It matches the Rfam family "Bacterial small subunit ribosomal RNA", at positions 28 to 507 of the family's 1533-position model. The record is from RNAcentral.
GAUGAACGCUGGCGGCGUGCCUAAUACAUGCAAGUCGAGCGAACGGACGAGAAGCUUGCUUCUCUGAUGUUAGCGGCGGACGGGUGAGUAACACGUGGAUAACCUACCUAUAAGACUGGGAUAACUUCGGGAAACCGGAGCUAAUACCGGAUAAUAUUUUGAACCGCAUGGUUCAAAAGUGAAAGACGGUCUUGCUGUCACUUAUAGAUGGAUCCGCGCUGCAUUAUCUAGUUGGUAAGGUAACGGCUUACCAAGGCAACGAUGCAUAGCCGACCUGAGAGGGUGGUCGGCCACACUGGAACUGAGACACGGUCCAGACUCCUACGGGAGGCAGCAGUAGGGAAUCUUCCGCAAUGGGCGAAAGCCUGACGGAGCAACGCCGCGUGAGUGAUGAAGGUCUUCGGAUCGUAAAACUCUGUUAUUAGGGAAGAACAUAUGUGUAAGUAACUGUGCACAUCUUGACGGUACCUAAUCAGAAAGCCACGGCUAACUACGUG